This 434-nucleotide ribosomal RNA is filed under the name uncultured bacterium. RNAcentral's name for it is "bacterial SSU rRNA". It matches the Rfam family "Bacterial small subunit ribosomal RNA", at positions 355 to 796 of the family's 1533-position model. The record is from RNAcentral.
UCGAGGAUCUUUGGCAAUGGGCGCAAGCCUGACCAAGCGACGCCGCGUGUGCGAUGAAGGCCUUCGGGUUGUAAAGCACUGUCGAGGGGGAUAAAGCCCCACAAGGGUUGAUUGAUCCCUGGAGGAAGCACGGGCUAAGUUCGUGCCAGCAGCCGCGGUAAGACGAACCGUGCGAACGUUGUUCGGAAUCACUGGGCUUAAAGGGCGCGUAGGCGGCUGCUCAAGUCCGGGGUGAAAGCCCCCAGCUUAACUGGGGAAGUGCCUUGGAUACUGAGCGGCUCGAGGGAGAUAGGGGUCGAGGGAACUUCUGGUGGAGCGGUGAAAUGCGUUGAUAUCAGAAGGAACGCCGGUGGCGAAAGCGCUCGACUGGAUCUCUACUGACGCUGAGGCGCGAAAGCCAGGGGAGCAAACGGGAUUAGAUACCCCUGUAGUCC